UAGAUUUGGACUAUUUAGCAAAACAACAAAUGAAAUGUAUUAAUGUUCAAAGGUAAUACACAUGCUAUAACUUGAAAUACAACUGUUUUAAAAAGCAUAAGGCACAAUUUUAUUUCAACG
Long non-coding RNA from Haliotis rubra (blacklip abalone), 120 nucleotides. RefSeq lists it as uncharacterized. The record is from RefSeq and is a predicted model, not a curated record. NCBI's taxonomy places the organism in Eukaryota, Metazoa, Mollusca, Gastropoda, Lepetellida, Haliotidae. The transcript is spliced from 3 exons.